Molecule: long non-coding RNA, 11764 nt
Filed under: Lactuca sativa (garden lettuce)
Lineage: Eukaryota; Viridiplantae; Streptophyta; Magnoliopsida; Asterales; Asteraceae
Description: long non-coding RNA (LSAT_LNC002606)
Source: RNAcentral
AGGAUCCAGUGAUGUUUAGGAGUCGUUUCAUAGUUGUUAAGUAGGUCAGAUCUGAUUGGGUUAGAAGUUCUGACUAAAUCUCUAAAUCUCUGACUGAGUUUAUAUUGUUUGAUUAUUUAUCUGACUGAAUCCACAUCAUUGAAUUUAUAUUGUUUGAUUAUGUCUCUGAUUAAGUCGCUAUGAUUAAUGAUGAAAAAUGACCAUAUUAUACUUAUGUUGGUUAGUUUUUAAUUUUUGGUUUUUAUACUUUUAUUCAAUUUUGAACAAUUAAACAUUAUAAGUUUGGUGUUUUAAUUUUUGGUUUUUCUAUUUAAUAAAUAUUAAAAUAUCUUUUUGUUACUUAUUGUUUUUCAUAUAUAAACUAAAUAAAUGGUUGUUUGGUUACAUGAUAUGAAUGAAGAAAAGAAGACCUUUUCCUAAUUUGCCCUUACAACCCACCGUCUCCAUUAUUUUCUUCUCGUAACAUUCAAAGAAAACACAACAUCUUCUCCAUCUCUUCUCUCCAUCAUCGAACCCCUCAAUCAUUUAACAUACCAAAUAUUCACAUCAACCAAUGGCAAAUUGAUAGGGAUCUUGAAGAUGAAGACACAAUAUAGGAUGAUAAUUCUAGAAAAACACAGUGCAAUUUUAGUUGUAUUGAAAAUUAAUCAUCGUCCCCUUCUUCUUAACAAAAAAAAACUAUAAAUAAUGUUUCUUCCCAAAAACAAGGAAAACAAUCAAAUCCAAUCAAAAUAUUAAAAUAUGAAUUAGAAAAUAAGGCAAGUGAAUAAUCUCAAGAUGGUAGAAGAUAUUCAUGCACGCAAGAUUUACUAUUUGACAUUUGUGUCAUUAAGUUGGCUGGUCCAUGGGUCGGCUACAUGAGAUGGAUCUGUAUCAUCCUCCCCGGCUUGAAAAUGACUCGGCCUCAAGUCCGGACUAGCAUCAUCCUCAGUUGGACUGUAAGGAGUUAAAUCAGCAACAUUAAAAGUAGCAGAGACGUUAUAGUGUCCGGGAAGGUCGAUUUUAUAAGCAUUGUCAUUGAUACGUUUAAGCACUUUAAAUGGUCCAUCCGCCCGUGGUUGAAGCUUCCCAAAAUGUCCUCCUGGAAAACGAUCUUUCCUUAAAUGUAUCCACACAAGAUCACCCUCUUGAAACACGACACGUUUACGGUGUUGAUUCACCCUUUUUUUGAUACUAGAGAUUAUGUUGGAUUAUUUGAUCGCGCACCUGCAUGUGAAGGUCUUGAAUUUGCUUAGCUCGAUUUUCUCCCUCGACAUUAUAAUGAUCAGUCCCCGGGCAUGGAGUAAGGUCAAGUGGAGUAAAAGGAUUCCUCCCAUACACAACAAAGAAUGGGCUCCUACCAGUGGACCUAUGAUUAGAUCUAUUGUAUGCAAAUUUGGCUUGAGCGAGCAUAAGAUCCCAUUGUUUAGGAUUGUCGCCGAUAAGGCUACGUAAAAGAUUUCCCAAGCUUCGGUUAGUAACUUCAGUUUGACCGUCUGUUUGAGGAUGGUAGGAGCUACUAAAUUGUAAACGUGAGCCCAAGCGUUUCCACAACGUUCGCCAAAAAUGACCAACAAAUUUGACAUCUCUAUCAGAAGUGAUGCUUUUUGGAAUACCAUGGAGGCGAACAAUCUCACUAAAAUAAAGUCGUGCGACUUGAAUGGCAUCAUAAGUUUUUGCACAUGGUAAAAAAUGCGACAUCUUUGAAAAUCGAUCAACGACCACCAUGAUCGAGUCUUUUUGACGUUGUGUACGUGGGAGACCCAAGACAAAAUCGAGACUAACAUCCUCCCACAGGCCAUUUGGAACAGGGAGUGGGGUAUAAAGACCUGCAUUAGUAUGGUGAGUUUUUGCAAUAUGACAUACCCGACAACAUGCGAGAAUCUGCGAAACAUCCUUCACUAAGUGAGGCCAAUAAAAACGAUAAUUAAUAAGGCCAACAGUUUUGUCUCGACGUACCAGGCGACGUCCCGCUUCAUACAGGGCCACCAAUAAUUAGGUCGAAGAUCUCGAUACAUCUUCGUCGCCCCUGGGUGGAUAGAAAACCGAGACUUAUGAGCCUCAUCCAUCAACACUUGCCGUACUCCACCCCAGUACGGUACCCACACUCUCCCGUGAAGCGUCAGCAAACCACGACUAUCAUAAUCAAACGAGGCUACUCGGCCCACGAUCCUCUCACACUUCUGUCUCUCCUCCUUGAGACCCUCCACCUGAGCCUCCUUGAUCCGCUCCAACAACGGAGUGAUCACUGUCAUCCUCAAACAUAGAUCCCUGAUAGGGGCCGCCGACACCUUGCGGCUCAGGGCAUCGGCCACCACAUUGGCCUUCCCUGGGUGGUAAAGGAUCUCACAGUCGUAAUCCUUUAGCACAUCCAACCACCUUCUCUGCCUCAUAUUCAGACUCGGCUGAUCCAUAAGGUACCUCAAACUCUUGUGAUCCGUGUAAAUAGUACAACGGACCCCAUAAAGGUAAUGCCUCCAAAUCUUGAGGGCAAACACAACUGCCCCCAGCUCCAAAUCAUGGGUAGGAUAAUUAGCCUCGUGAGGCUUCAACUGUCUCGAGGCAUAAGCUAUCACAUGGCCUCGCUGCAUCAAAACUGCUCCCAUACCUGUGAUCGAGGCAUCACAAUAGACUACAAAGUCCUCUACUCCCUCUGGCAAGGUAAGGAUCGGAGCCUCGCAUAAUCUCUGCCUGAGGGUCUCAAACGCUGACUGCUGCUUAGGACCCCAACGAAAUACCACUGACUUCCUGGUCAGUCGGGUGAGCGGCACUGCUAUCUUGGAGAAAUCCUGAAUAAAUCUCCGAUAAUACCCUGCCAACCCUAGGAAGCUCUGAAUCUCAGAUGGAGACUUCGGGACCUCCCACUGCAUCACGGCCUCUAUCUUGGCCGGAUCUACCAAAAUACCCUUCUGGUUGACGAGGUGACCAAGGAACUGCACCUCGCGCAACCAGAACUCACAUUUGGAGAACUUUGCGAAAAGUCUCUCCCUCCUCAAAACCUCCAGCACCUCCCGCAGGUGCUCCUCGUGCUGCUCCUGCGUCUUGGAAUAUACCAAGAUAUCAUCUAUGAACACUAUCACUGACCGAUCCAGCAUCGGCCUACACACGCGGUUCAUGAGAUCCAUGAACGCGGCUGGAGCAUUGGUGAGCCCAAAUGGCAUCACCACAAACUCGUAAUGACCAUACCUGGUCCUGAAAGCAGUCUUCUGUACAUCCUCAUCUCUAACCCGCAUCUGAUGAUAUCCGGAGCGUAGAUCGAUCUUGGAGAACCAAGACGCUCCCUGAAGCUGAUCAAACAAAUCAUCUAUCCUCGGGAGUGGGUAACGGUUCUUCACCGUUACCUUAUUCAACUCCCGGUAAUCUAUACACAUACGAUGCGACCCAUCCUUCUUCCUCACAAACAGGAUCGGCGCUCCCCAAGGCGAACUGCUCGGCCGAAUGAAACCCUUGUCUAACAGCUCCUGCAGCUGUGUAGACAACUCCUGCAUCUCAGGGGGAGCUAGUCGAUACGGUGCCUUGGCUAUCGGAGCCGCACCAGGGAUGAGGUCGAUCCUGAACUCAACCUGUCUCUCAGGAGGUAUCCCCGGCAAAUCCUCGGGAAACACGUCCGGGUAGUCUCGAACAAUAGGAACAUCAUCAACUGUCGACUUGCCCUUCUCCCGGGCAUCCAAAACGUAAGCUACAAAACCGGCGCAACCCUGCUGAACAUAGCGCCUCGCCCUUGCGGCGGAACAAAAGGUCGGUCCUCGCUGUGGCCUCUCGCCCUGAAUCACCAACUCUCCCCCACUGGGAGUGCGAACCCUCACUAGCUGAAGCUCACAAUCAAUCACCGCCCCAUUGGGGCUUAGCCAAUCCAUGCCCACAAUAACCUUAUUCCCUCGCAGGGGAAUAGGUACCAGGUCCACUGAAAACUGCUCAUCAAACAACUGAAGAGAACACCCUCUAUGCACUCUGCCGACCCUCACGGUCCUAUCAUCUGCUAUCUCAACCUCUAAUGGACAAUCCAGCUCCCCUGGAGCUCUACUAAAUCUCUUGCUAAGCGCAAGCGAUACGAAUGAUCGGGUAGCCCCCGAAUCGAAUAAUACCAUAGCAGAAAUGCCGUUCACAGAGAACGACCCUGAAUAAAACAUACAAUCAUAAGCAAUAUUCAAUCAAUAAUAAUAAAGAGAUAAAGGGAAGAUACAUACCCGUCACCACAUCAGGAGUCGCUCGCGCCUCCUCUGCUGUCAUCUGAAACGCCCUACUCUUCGCCACUGGCGCAUCAGCUCGGCCCUGCCGGCCAUCUGUAAUCCUCAAGGUAGCAGGGGCAGGUGCAGCCACCUUCCCUGCUGCAGCUAAACUCGGACACUGGGACUUUUUAUGUCCCCUCUGAUUGCACUGAAAGCAAAUCAGAUCUGAUGCUGCAACGGCAGUAGCAGGGGCCGUACAAUCCCUACUCAAAUGCCCAAUCCGACCGCACUUGUAGCAGCCGGAACUCCCUGCCUUGCACGCUCCCUCGUGCAAUCUCCCACACUUGCCACAUCGACCGUGGCUCUGCUGACUCCUAGAUCUGUGAUCCGAAACCUUGGGCUUUUUGCCCGAACCGCCUGAACCCGAAACCGCCUCCGGUUUCCUCUUCUUCUCCAUCUCGAGAUCAAUCUCCCUCUCCCGAGCCCUAGCAAUCAUAUCUUCCAGCGUUUUACAGCUGGACCGGCUCACAAACUGGCGGAUAUCGCUCCGCAACAUCUCAUGAUAACGGGCCUUCUUCAUUUCCUCAUCAGCUACGUACUGAGGAACGAGAAGAGCCCUCUCCCUGAACUUGGCGGUGAUCUCCGCCACUGUCUCUGUAGUCUGGGUGAGGUCCUGAAACUCCCUAGCUAGCUGUUGCACCUCAAUGACCGGUGCAAACUCCGCCCUGAACCUGGUAGAGAAAUCAGCCCAGGUCAUGGCGUCCAAUGCUGCAUCAUCCCCAAUGGCAUGCCCGACCUCCUCCCACCAAUCUCGUGCCCUGUCCUUCAGAAGACAGGACGCCAAUCUGACCUUGUCCCCCUCGGGACAUCUGCUAGUACGGAAAGCGUUGGCCACAUCCGCCAACCAUCUGGUGCUCGCUAUGGGGUCUCGCGCCCCAUGAUAGUCCGGAGCUCCACAUGCCCUGAACUCCCUGAAAGUAAGGGUGCGCGACCCCAUCAUGGCCGCCACCUCGGCACGGAAGGUGCCCAAUCUCUCAUCCAUCAGCUCUAGAAUCCCCUCCUUGAUCGAACCGAAGAUCACAGGAGUCUGCUCUAUAAUGAUGCGCGUAAUCUCCGAAGAAAGAAACUCUCGGGUCUGCUCAUCCAUGCGCUCAUCCCCCGAACCUGAACCUGAUCCCUCCCCGGCACCUCCGCUGCCGGCUGCUGGUCUCGAACGCAAAACCACCAUUCUGAAACACAUCACAACUACAUCAGAAAACAGAAAUAUCUCGAGGGAUCAUUGAUACUACAACUAGCUUCCUGGUCUUGUCUCAGCCUUUCUUGAUUCGAGUACGGAUCCUCUGCUUCCAGUAGUACGGGCCCAUACUACCUUCCACAUCUAUCCGUACUUUCUUCAAGAACUGCCCUGACUCCACCAAGUCACUUCUACUACUACUGAUCUCUGCUACUCUCAUCCUAGGCUUGCCCCAGGGAAACCUCAGACUUAACUCAACUAGUCCUCAGCUGCUGCAGGUCUCCUUAUAAUGCUAAUUAACCAUCACCUGAACACCAUCACAUGUGACGAAGAUCAGAUAAUCCUUCAAGUAAAAGACCCGUCCCUAUAACGGUUGGACUCAAACAAGAGCUGCGCAAUAGGGCCAGUUCCAGCACUCUGGGAUUAUUCAACCCUGAUCACAUGUGGUGUAACGUGUUCACCUAAUGGCUAACUUCCAUCACUCAGAACUCCCACAAAGCACGAAGCAAGCAGCAUUCGGAAUAAGGAAACAUACUCAGGCAAAACUAUUCUCAAAACGAGAAACUGAUCUAGCAUACAGUGCUAAGCUCAUACUAUCAGGCAUAACCUAAACAGGCUAUCCUACUGCUGUCUACUCAAUACUAGCAUGCAAUACUCAUAAAGCUGUAACACAUAAAGCAGGCACAUAAGGCAUCCUCCUAGAUCCUUAGUCCUAUACUAGCAUGCUGUUCUACUGAAACUGAAACUGAACAAAUAACUUGUAUGGGUAAUUUGGGAGUACUUACUUGAGCUCGGCUGAUCGCAUGCACCACACCCUUAUCUUGUUUAAAAAAUUUUUUCUUUCUAAGUGCUUUCAAAAUUCUUUUAGAAAACAUUUUCCUUUUAAAAAUCUUUUUAUUUCCCCUUAGUUUGAGUUCAGAUACACCCGGAAGUGUAUCCGAAUCCCUCAAACCAGGGCUCUGAUACCAACUUGAAACGACCCAAAAAUACGACCCAAAAAUUUCGUUUUUCAACAUAACCAAAAACCAUAAUCUGAGUGUCAUAUCAUAAACCAUACAUGAUGUAUCUCAAAAUAAUAAUAAAAACACUGUGCGGAAAACUGUAUCAUAUCCAUGUCAUAUAAAAAUCAAGAACCAAAUCAACUCCCAGGAUAAAAGCUGAAGCUGUGGUGUGUGCGAUGCCAUCAUCCCGAGCUCUUCCCUCUACAAGCGGAAGUACCUGAAACCAAAACUGAAACUGUAAGCACGAAGCUUAGUGAGCUCCCCCAAACUACCACAUACCAUACAAUACAUAUAAAUCACAUACUGGGCCUUGCCCACUGCAUCAGACCGAGGUCUGGAACUAGCUGCAUCGGACCGAAGUCCGGAACUGACUGGGACCUUGUCCCCUGCAUCGGACCAGAGUCCGGAACUAACUGCAUCGGACCGAAGUCCGGAACUAACUGCAUCGGACCGAAGUCCGGAACUGACUGCAUCGGACCGAAGUCCGGAACUAACUGCAUCGGACCGAAGUCCGGAACUGACUGAUCAUGACAUAGCAUAACACAUAACAACUAUUAUAAUCACAUAUACUGCAUACUGCAUCGGACCGAAGUCCGGAACACAUACUCGAAUAUGCUUGAAUCACAAAGACAUCAAGCACUCUAGCUACUGCAUCAGACUAAAGACCAGAACUACUGAUAAUUACACGGGCCGGCAUUGCGGCCGUAGACCCGUUCCUACUGAAGGGAAACUCACCUCGUGAACUGGCUGCUGAGUGUAUGGCUCUGGAAGCUAGCUGCUGCUGCUCCGGUAUCUCCCCGGCUACAAGUCCAUAAACACACUCAAUCAAAUACUAAACACUGCACUGGGUAAAAUGACUCUUUUACCCUUGGUCAAAGUCAACUCUCAGACAAAGUCAACUCUCGGUCAAAGUCAACCCAUAGUUGACCUGACUCGCCGAGUUGGGCCGCCAACUCGCCGAGUCCCUAUUCUCACUCCUCGACUCAACUCGCUGCUACUCGUCGAGUAUGGCAUCGACUCGACGAGUACUCUCCCGAUCCAAGAACUCAGACAAUCUUCAUCCGACUCGCCGAGUCCUAUGAACAACUCGACGAGUUGUUCUUGAGCUUAAGAAGAUUGCCUUGGACUCGCCGAGUUGUAUGAACAACUCGCCGAGUCCCUCCAUUACUGAGUCUACCCUCAAACUCGCUGAGUCCACUCCACUACUCACUGGUCCCACUCGACACCGCUCAAAAGGAAGAAAUCGGGGACUCGCGACUCGACUCGCCGAGUCGUUCUUCCGACUCGCCGAGUCACCGCCAUGCAACUAUUCUACACUCGAUUCUGCUCGAAUCCAAUACAUACAAAUGAUAGAUCUGAGUCCAAUAAGCUGAUUUACCACGUAAAGUUUCCAACUUUACGUGUACAAACACAUGAACAAGGGAAUAAAGGCUAAAAGAUGCUUAAAAGGGGUAGAUCUAGGGUUAAUAUGCAAAAUAGCUCCAUAAAGGCAAUAGAUCUGGGCUCUACAACUCCUAAAUGAACAGAUCUAAGGUUAUCUCGGCAUAAGAGAGCUUCCAUAUCAACAUAAAGCUUUGAGAAAGGCAUUAACAAGAUCUAGAAAGGGUUUUAAGGCAUAAAAGAGAGGGAAAACUGAAGAAUACCUCAAAGAGCUCUUGCUUUCCCUUGAAUCUCUGCUCUACAAUCCUUCUCCUUGCUCCUUUCUUCUUCUCCUUCUUCAAGCCUUCACAAUAGCACACAAAAUCACUUAGAAUCACUCAAGAACGAAUUAGGGUUUUCUCACAGCUUUUGAGGGUGAAGGAGGCGAGAUUGGGGGCUAUAAGGUGGCUUAAAUAGUGGGCAACCCGGGGAUUUAGGGUUUCUCCCAGACGGACAGACUCGCCGAGUCCAGAAUAUGGACUCGCCGAGUCGCCAGCUAACACGUGCUCGAAAUCCCGACCCUACUCGGCGAGUCAGGCUAUGAACUCGCCGAGUCCCUUUACAAAACUUCAAAAUAAAUACCAAGGAAUCAUCAUACCGAGAACGGGUCGUUACAGUUUUUUAGGACUGCAAAAGCUCUAUUUGCAUCUUCUGUCCAAACAAAUUUACCACCUUUCAAACAAUUGGUAAUGGGUGCAACAAUGGUACUAAAGUUCCUAAUAAACUGUCGGUAAAAUGAAGCUAGACCAUAAAAACUUCGAAUGUCCCGUAGUGUUUUGGGGAUAGGCCACGAAGUAAUUGCUUCAACUUUAGAAUUAUCCAUUCUAAUCCCAUUACCUGAGAUUAAGAAACCCAAAAAGGUGACCUCAGAUGUCAAAAAAGGCACUUGUUGCGGUUGGCAUACAAUUUUUGCUCUCGAAGAACCCGAAAAACAUCACGUAGAUGUUGCAAAUGAUGUGUGAGGUCUUGGCUAAAAAUUAGGAUGUCAUCGAAAUAAACGACAACAAAACGGCCAAGGAAGGGUUGAAAAAUAUGAUUCAUGAGCCGCAUAAACGUACUCGGUGCGUUGGACAAACCGAAUGGCAUAACCAUCCACUCAAAUAAACCGUCCCGUGUUUUAAACGCUGUUUUCCAUUCAUCUCCCGGCCGCAUGCGGAUUUGGUGAUACCCGCUUCGAAGAUCGACUUUUGAAAAAACUUGUGCUCCGUGUAACUGAUCAAGUAGGUCCUUGAAUCGUGGGAUAGGAAAACGAUAUUUUACCGUGAUUUUGUUAACUGCACGACUAUCUAUACACAUACGAUAGACACCGCCAGGUUUCAGAACAAGUAGGGUUGGGACUGCACAAGGGCUCAUGCUUUCACGAAUGAGACCUUUUUGGAGAAGUUCGGUGACUUGUCGAUGUAAUUCUUCAAAUUCUUUGGGAUUCAUUCGGUACGCCGGUUUGUUCGGAAUGCGAGCGCCGGGUAAAAAAUCAAUACAAUGUUGUAUUUCCCGCAUAAGUGGUAAACCUGUAGGUGUAGGUAUUUCAUCAGGAAAAACAUAACUGAAUUCACUAAGUAGAGGUUGAACCUAUGUGGGGGUGUUGUGAUUGCCGGCAUUCUGUUCGGUCACAAAUAAAGCAAAUAGGAAUUGUUGCUCAUGUAAUCGUGAAUAGUUAAUGAAUUCACCUCUAGAAAGAAUCAUGGCUUCUGUAGCAGACUGACGUGUAUCUUGUGGAGCUAACACAAUACUAAUACCAUCUUUUUUGAAGCUAUAAGUGUUAUGAAAUCCAUCAUGUUUGGUACGACGGUCAUAUUGCCAAGGGCGGCCCAAUAAAAUGUGACAAGCGUCCAUAGGAAUGACCUCACACCACACCUCAUCCGUAUAUUUAUUCCCAAUAGAAAAGUGGACCAAGCAUCGUUUAGUAACACUAACAAUAUUGCCUUUCUUUAACCACGUCAACUGAUAAGGUUCGGGAUGAUUUUCGACCAGCAACCCCAGUUUCUCAACCAUUGUUGUUGCGACCAUUUUCUCACAACUACCGUCAUCAAUAAUAAUAGAACACACUUUCCCUUUCGCGGUGCACUUGGUACGAAAAAUGUUGUGUCGUAGCCAAAGAGUGUCAUCCCUGGUCUUGUCAAUGACAACACUAAGAACAUGCUGCACUACUAAGGACUCGCCUCGAUCUGGGUAAACAAUUUCCGGUUCUCCCUGUGUCGGUUCUUCAGCUUCCCCACCGUCAUCAUCAUAUUUAGGUUCAUCAACAAAAGUAACAAGUUGUGUAUUUGGGCAGGGUGCGUAAUGACCUAGACCUUGACAUUUGUAACAACGUGGAGGUCGGGCAAUAGCUUGGCUUCCCGCCCUAGUGGACGUUCCUUCGGUUUUGGUUAGAGAACCUGCCCCUAGUUGGUUGCUAGACGGGCCAACAGAUUUGUUGAAAAAUGGGGUGCGACUGGUAUUGGUUUGUGGUUUAUUUUUUGUUGUUUUUCCACUUUGAGGGCUAGAUGGCACACAUCCUGGAGGGUCCAAAAUUGUUGUAACUGGACUACAUCGGCUAUUUCGGGAUGCAAAGCUCCUAAGAAUCGGACAACUACCUGUUCCUCAUCUUCAUCGGCCUCGCAACGCAUUCGCAAACGAUCGAAAUCGGCUAUGAACUGCUCAACAGAAGAAUUUUGUUGUGUUAAAUUGUGAUAUUCGAAAAAAGCAUCUUGCCUAUAAUUAAGUGGUAGGAACUGGGUGCGGAGCAACUUCAUUUUUUCCCAUGUUUGUACUCGAGAUUUGCCUUGUUGAAUUCUUUUCUUUUUCAUGUGGUCCCACCAUAAGGAAGCAUAUUUACGUAACUUGAUGGCUACGACUUUCACCUUUAAGUGAUCGGGUAUAUCACGGAGUUCAAACACACGUUCGACAGUACUCAACCAAUCGAUGAAGUCGUCUUGUUGGGCCCGCCCUUCAAAUUUCGGAAUGUCAACGCGUACCCCUAAAGUACAUAGAAUGUCGUUGCGAUUUUGUUGUUAGAAUUGAAUGAUCGGGGGGCGCCCAAAAGGAUUCUCCUCUCUGUCAUUACCAUCGUCCCAGACGACGGAAUCGGACUCGGUUUCCUCUUGGCGAUCCUCCUGUUGUAGUUCUAGAUCUCGAAUCUAUUGUUGUAUUGUUCAAUUUCUUCAACAUCACGUGGAUUGCGUUGCGGACCAACACCCUCUAGCGCACCACCGCGACGAUUACUGUUUCGUGUAGGUCGUCCUUUUCCAGCCAUAAAUAUCAGAACCUGGAAACUGAUACCACUUGAUAGGGAUCUUGAAGAUGAAGACACAAUAUAGGAUGAUAAUUCUAGAAAAACACAAUGCAAUUUUAGUUGUAUUGAAAAAUUAAUCAUCGUCCCCUUCUUCUUAACAAAAAAAAAAAAAACUACAAAAUAAUGUUUCUUCCCAAAAACAAGGAAAACAAUCAAAUCCAAUCAAAAUAUUAAAAUAUGAAUUAAAAGAUAAGGCAAGUGAAUAAUCUCAAAAGGGUAGAAGAUAUUCAUGCACACAAGAUUUAGUGUUUGACAUUUGUGUCAUUAAGUUGGCUGGUCCAUGGUCGGCUACAUGAGAUGGAUCUGUAUCACAAAUAUUAAUAGCAAAUGAUUUCAUAUGUCAGCAACAAUUCAACGAGCACAGCGAUAGCAACCAAAAUAAUUGUAGCAAAAGUUCAUAGCAAAUGGAAACCACAACAACAAUUCAAAGCUAAUCGACAAUUUGCAACUAUCGGGAACAUAAAAGUCAAAAACACACCUGGUCAGAAGAAGGUGAUCUCCAGGUUGCGAGGUCGGAGGAAGACGACGGAUUCUGAGCACUGGGUGGUCGUUGGUAGCAGGGGAUAGGGGAUAACUUUUUUUGUUUUUGUGGAAGCGUGUUUAUGAUAACAAGGCAAAAGUAGUAUUAAAAGAAUUUUGUCUCGAUCCUUCUUAUUUGAAGCUUGAACUGAAUCAAUCUAUUUUGAUGGAC